RNAcentral lists this non-coding RNA (29 nucleotides) under Mus musculus (house mouse). The record is from RNAcentral. Lineage: Eukaryota; Metazoa; Chordata; Mammalia; Rodentia; Muridae.
UGGGAUUUAAAAUCAGACGUGCUCCACCA